RNAcentral lists this non-coding RNA (195 nucleotides) under Coprobacillus sp. Its description in RNAcentral is "T-box sequence". It matches the Rfam family "T-box leader". From Rfam's summary of the family: Uncharged tRNA acts as the effector for transcription antitermination of genes in the T-box leader family. T-boxes are found upstream of many aminoacyl-tRNA synthetase genes and some amino acid biosynthetic genes usually in Gram-positive bacteria. The anticodon of a specific tRNA base pairs to a specifier sequence within the T-box motif, and the NCCA acceptor tail of the tRNA base pairs to a conserved bulge in the T-box antiterminator hairpin. Lineage: Bacteria; Bacillati; Bacillota; Erysipelotrichia; Erysipelotrichales; Coprobacillaceae. The record is from RNAcentral.
GAAAAAGCAAAGAACAGAAGAGAUUAAAAGGAUGUUUUAGAGAACUGAUGGUUGGUGAAAAUCAGGACAGAAAUUUUAUGAAAAUGGUCUGGGAGCUGUUAUCUUGAAUAGUUAGAGAUAAACGUUAACUGCGUUAAAGUAAUGAGAGACACUUCGGUGUAAAAAAGGUGGUACCGCGUAUUUAACGUCCUUUUA